Molecule: ribosomal RNA, 303 nt
Filed under: uncultured Lactobacillales bacterium
Lineage: Bacteria; Bacillati; Bacillota; Bacilli; Lactobacillales
Description: bacterial SSU rRNA
Rfam family: Bacterial small subunit ribosomal RNA
Source: RNAcentral
GGUAUCUAACCAGAAAGCCACGGCUAACUACGUGCCAGCAGCCGCGGUAAUACGUAGGUGGCAAGGGUUGUCCGGAUUUAUUGGGCGUAAAGCGAGCGCAGGCGGUUCCUUAAGUGUGAUGUGAAAGCCCCCGGCUCAACCGGGGAGGGUCAUUGGAAACUGGGGAACUUGAGUGCAGAAGAGGAGAGUGGAAUUCCAUGUGUAGCGGUGAAAUGCGUAGGUAUAUGGAGGAACACCAGUGGCGAAGGCGACUCUAUGGUCUGUAACUGACGCUGAGGCUCGAAAGCGUGGGUAGCAAACAGG